This is a non-coding RNA of Aedes aegypti (yellow fever mosquito), 74 nucleotides long. Lineage: Eukaryota; Metazoa; Arthropoda; Insecta; Diptera; Culicidae. The record is from Rfam.
UGUUCUGUAGCUUAGUUGGUUAAAGCGCUGGUCUAGCGUACACGGAGUCGUGAGUCCGAGUCUCACUAGAACGC